This 119-nucleotide ribosomal RNA is filed under the name Pteropus alecto (black flying fox). Lineage: Eukaryota; Metazoa; Chordata; Mammalia; Chiroptera; Pteropodidae. The record is from RNAcentral.
UUCUAUGGCCAUGCUACCUUGAAUGUGCCCGAUCUUGUUUGAUCUUGGAAGCUAAGCAGAGUUGGGCCUGGUUGGUACUUGGAUGGGAGACCACCUAGGAACACAAGGUGCUGUAGGCA